Molecule: non-coding RNA, 124 nt
Organism: Gossypium raimondii (Peruvian cotton)
Lineage: Eukaryota; Viridiplantae; Streptophyta; Magnoliopsida; Malvales; Malvaceae
Source: Rfam
UAUUAAAAAUUUCAUCCAUUUCUACUGUUAAAAACUGGCGUGGCAGCAUGUGGUGUGUCGCGUGUACCUCAUUUUGACAUACAAAAACCAAUUUUAACAGUAAAAAUAAAUGAAAUUUUUAACA